GGCACCUUGGCAGAGUGGUUAACGCGGAGCCCUGCUAAGGCUUUUCUCUUUGGGAGCGCGGGUCAAAUCCUGUGGGUUUUG
This is a non-coding RNA of Entomophthora muscae, 81 nucleotides long. The record is from the annotation of a GenBank genome assembly. Lineage: Eukaryota; Fungi; Entomophthoromycota; Entomophthoromycetes; Entomophthorales; Entomophthoraceae.